This 406-nucleotide ribosomal RNA is filed under the name uncultured bacterium. RNAcentral describes it as "partial 16S ribosomal RNA". It matches the Rfam family "Bacterial small subunit ribosomal RNA", at positions 30 to 526 of the family's 1533-position model. The record is from RNAcentral.
AUUGAACGCUGGCGGCAGGCCUAACACAUGCAAGUAGAACGAGUGGCGGACGGGUGAGUAAUGUCUGGGAAACUGCCUGAUGGAGGGGGAUAACUACUGGAAACGGUAGCUAAUACCGCAUACCAUCGGAUGAGCCCAGAUGGGAUUAGCUAGUAGGUGGGGUAACGGCUCACCUAGGCGACGAUCCCUAUCUGGUCUGAGAGGAUGACCAGCCACUCUGGAACUGAGACACGGUCCAGAUUCCUACGGGAGGCAGCAGUGGGGAAUAGUGCACAAUGGGCGCAAGCCGGCUGCAGCCAUGCCGCGUGUAUGAAGAAGGCCUUCGGGUUGUAAAGUACUUUCAGCGGGGAGGCGUUACCCGCAGAAGAAGCACCGGCUAACUCCGUGCCAGCAGCCGCGGUAAUUC